GAGGCUUCGGCAAUGGGGGAAACCCUGACCGAGCGACGCCGCGUGAAGGAUGAAGGCCCUUGGGUUGUAAACUUCUUUUGUUGGGGAAGAAAUGCGACCAGGUGAACAAUCUAGUCGUUUGACGGUACCCGACGAAUAAGCUCCGGCUAACUCCGUGCCCGCAGCCGCGGUAACACGGGGGGAGCAAGCGUUGUUCGGAAUCACUGGGCGUAAAGGGCGUGUAGGCGGUCAGGUAAGUGGGAUGUGAAAUCCCUCGGCUCACCCGAGGACCUGCAUCCCAUACUGCUUGGCUUGAGUACGGGAGAGGAUGGAGGAAUUCCUGGUGUAGCGGUGAAAUGCGUAGAUAUCAGGAGGAACACCGGUGGCGAAGGCGUCCAUCUGGCCCGAUACUGACGCUGAGGCGCGAAAGCUAGGGUAGCAAACGGG
Molecule: ribosomal RNA, 426 nt
Filed under: uncultured bacterium
Lineage: Bacteria
Description: bacterial SSU rRNA
Rfam family: Bacterial small subunit ribosomal RNA
Source: RNAcentral